This 497-nucleotide ribosomal RNA is filed under the name uncultured bacterium. Its description in RNAcentral is "partial 16S ribosomal RNA". It matches the Rfam family "Bacterial small subunit ribosomal RNA", at positions 28 to 507 of the family's 1533-position model. The record is from RNAcentral.
GAUGAACGCUGGCGGCGUGCCUAAUACAUGCAAGUCGAGCGAACGGGCGAGAAGCUUGCUUCUCUGAUGUUAGCGGCGGACGGGUGAGUAACACGUGGAUAACCUACCUAUAAGACUGGGACAACUUCGGGAAACCGGAGCUAAUACCGGAUAAUAUUUUGAACCGCAUGGUUCAAAAGUGAAAGACGGUCUUGCUGUCACUUAUAGAUGGAUCCGCGCUGCAUUAGCUAGUUGGUAAGGUAACGGCUUACCAAGGCAACGAUGCAUAGCCGACCUGAGAGGGUGAUCGGCCACACUGGAACUGAGACACGGUCCAGACUCCUACGGGAGGCAGCAGUAGGGAAUCUUCCGCAAUGGGCGAAAGCCUGACGGAGCAACGCCGCGUGAGUGAUGAAGGUCUUCGGAUCGUAAAACUCUGUUAUUAGGGAAGAACAUAUGUGUAAGUAACUGUGCACAUCUUGACGGUACCUAAUCAGAAAGCCACGGCUAACUACGUG